UACGAAGGGUGCUAGCGUUGUUCGGAAUCACUGGGCGUAAAGCGCGCGCAGGCGGCCAUUCAAGUCAGGGGUGAAAUCCUUGGGCUUAACCCAAGAAUUGCCUUUGAAACUGUAUGGCUGGAGUGUCGGAGGGGAUAGCGGAAUUCCUAAUGUAGUGGUGAAAUACGUAGAUAUUAGGAGGAACACCGGUGGCGAAGGCGGCUAUCUGGACGACAACUGACGCUGAGGCGCGAAAGCGUGGGGAUCAAACAGG
RNAcentral lists this ribosomal RNA (253 nucleotides) under uncultured bacterium. RNAcentral describes it as "partial 16S ribosomal RNA". It matches the Rfam family "Bacterial small subunit ribosomal RNA", at positions 524 to 776 of the family's 1533-position model. The record is from RNAcentral.